RNAcentral lists this ribosomal RNA (93 nucleotides) under Streptomyces qinglanensis. Lineage: Bacteria; Bacillati; Actinomycetota; Actinomycetes; Kitasatosporales; Streptomycetaceae. The record is from RNAcentral.
ACGCCCGGUCACAUUCCGAACCCGGAAGCUAAGCCUUUCAGCGCCGAUGGUACUGCAUGCGGGAGCGUGUGGGAGAGUAGGACGCCGCCGAAC